This 453-nucleotide ribosomal RNA is filed under the name uncultured Porphyromonadaceae bacterium. RNAcentral describes it as "partial 16S ribosomal RNA". It matches the Rfam family "Bacterial small subunit ribosomal RNA", at positions 341 to 792 of the family's 1533-position model. The record is from RNAcentral. Lineage: Bacteria; Pseudomonadati; Bacteroidota; Bacteroidia; Bacteroidales; Porphyromonadaceae.
ACGGAAGGCAGCAGUGAGGAAUAUUGGUCAAUGGGCGGAAGCCUGAACCAGCCAAGUCGCGUGAAGGAUGAAGGUAUUAUGUAUUGUAAACUUCUUUAGACGUAGAGAAAUAAGGGGGUCGAGACCUCUGAUGCUAGUAUACGUAGAAUAAGGAUCGGCUAACUCCGUGCCAGCAGCCGCGGUAAUACGGAGGAUCCGAGCGUUAUCCGGAUUUAUUGGGUUUAAAGGGUGCGCAGGCGGUCUUUUAAGUCAGUGGUUAAAUCGUGGAGCUUAACUCCAUCCCGCCAUUGAUACUGGAGGACUUGGUUGCGGUUGAGGUUGGCGGAAUUCGCCGUGUAGCGGUGAAAUGCAUAGAUAUGGCGAAGAACUCCGAUUGCGUAGGCAGCUGACCAAGCCGUAAAUGACGCUCAUGCACGAAAGUGCGGGGAUCGAACAGGAUUAGAUACCCUGGUA